AGGAAGUGAGGUUUUUGAUGGAGCAGAGAUAUGGAGCCUCUGUAUUGCGUGAUGAUGUGCGUGAGGAUGGUGAAUUCGUAGCAUGAGUGUGGUCUCUGAGUUUGUUGGAAUGGUUCCGGGUUAGGGAAGAGAUGAGAGGAGUGGUGAGGGAGGAAUGUGGAUUGUGAAUGAAUGGUCGCCUGGUUCCUGUGUGAGGGAGGAUGCCAUUCUGAGUAGUGUGAGGGCUGAACGAUCAUGAUGAACUCAAUCAAGGUUACUGAUGAUGAUGAAUCAAGAUGAUGAUGCUCUGAUCUCUCCUUUGCUUAAUUCUGUUGUAACCGUUUUCAUCCCCAACUUUUUCAACUUUUUUCCUUUUUUUCAUUUUAUUUCUUAUUUUUUCUUUUCUUUUUUUCUUCUUUUUUUUUUAUCUAUUUUUCUCUCUUUUUUUCUUCUUUUUUUUUGUUUUCUUU
Molecule: long non-coding RNA, 449 nt
Filed under: Vigna radiata
Lineage: Eukaryota; Viridiplantae; Streptophyta; Magnoliopsida; Fabales; Fabaceae
Description: long non-coding RNA (VRAD_LNC007235)
Source: RNAcentral